UGGGGAAUCUUCCGCAAUGGACGAAAGUCUGACGGAGCAACGCCGCGUGAACGAUGAAGGUCUUCGGAUUGUAAAGUUCUGUGAUCCGGGACGAAGGCAUCAAUUGAGAACAUUGAUUGAUGUUGACGGUACCGGAAAAGCAAGCCACGGCUAACUACGUGCCAGCAGCCGCGGUAAUACGUAGGUGGCAAGCGUUGUCCGGAAUUAUUGGGCGUAAAGCGCGCGCAGGCGGCCGUGCAAGUCCAUCUUAAAAGCGUGGGGCUUAACCCCAUGAGGGGAUGGAAACUGCAGGGCUGGAGUGUCGGAGGGGAAAGUGGAAUUCCUAGUGUAGCGGUGAAAUGCGUAGAGAUUAGGAAGAACACCGGUGGCGAAGGCGACUUUCUAGACGACAACUGACGCUGAGGCGCGAAAGCGUGGGGAGCAAACAGG
RNAcentral lists this ribosomal RNA (429 nucleotides) under uncultured bacterium. RNAcentral's name for it is "bacterial SSU rRNA". It matches the Rfam family "Bacterial small subunit ribosomal RNA", at positions 355 to 776 of the family's 1533-position model. The record is from RNAcentral.